RNAcentral lists this long non-coding RNA (336 nucleotides) under Gallus gallus (chicken). RNAcentral describes it as "long non-coding RNA NONGGAT011740". The record is from RNAcentral. Lineage: Eukaryota; Metazoa; Chordata; Aves; Galliformes; Phasianidae.
CCGAGUUGGUCGUCCUCUCCCUCUACGCUUUCUAAGAAGAGCUUCAAAAUUUGCAGAGGUGGAUAAGGAACAGCAGUGGAUGAGGAAUGAGGAAGCUCCCGCUGGAGUUAUCCAUCCUGGACUACGAUGUGGUUCACUUCCCUCCAUCCAUGGCUGCUGCUUUCUGCUUGGCUAUAAAACUCGCUAAUAGAGACACGUGAGCAGUAAAGAACAAAUACGCCAGGAGCGAAAGCUUCAGGACAGGCACCGUGAUGGAGCUGCACUCCCCGCUCAUCUGUGACCUCGCCCUGCCUCUGGUGGAUUCUUUCUCUGAAUUCCAGUAGCAAUGGGCGUCUA